This 24-nucleotide ribosomal RNA is filed under the name Laimosemion kirovskyi. Its description in RNAcentral is "partial 16S ribosomal RNA". The record is from RNAcentral. Lineage: Eukaryota; Metazoa; Chordata; Actinopteri; Cyprinodontiformes; Rivulidae.
UCCUAACUAGCUAGCUUAAAAAUC